CAGUAGCCGCGGGAAUACGAAGGGUGCAAGCGUUACUCGGAAUUACUGGGCGUAAAGCGCGCGUAGGUGGUCCAUUAAGUUGGAUGUGAAAGCCCUGGGCUCAACCUGGGAACUGCAUCCAAAACUGGUGAGCUAGAGUACGGUAGAGGGUAGUGGAAUUUCCUGUGUAGCGGUGAAAUGCGUAGAUAUAGGAAGGAACACCAGUGGCGAAGGCGACUACCUGGACUGAUACUGACACUGAGGUGCGAAAGCGUGGGGAGCAAACAGGAUUAGAUACCCGCGUAGUCCCUGUCUCUUAUAC
This 301-nucleotide ribosomal RNA is filed under the name uncultured bacterium. Its description in RNAcentral is "partial 16S ribosomal RNA". It matches the Rfam family "Bacterial small subunit ribosomal RNA", at positions 509 to 807 of the family's 1533-position model. The record is from RNAcentral.